Molecule: long non-coding RNA, 1173 nt
Filed under: Homo sapiens (human)
Lineage: Eukaryota; Metazoa; Chordata; Mammalia; Primates; Hominidae
Description: long non-coding RNA NONHSAT202433.1
Source: RNAcentral
UGAGCCGAGAUUGAGCCACUGCACUCCAGCUUGGGUGAUAGAGUGAGACUCUGUGUCAAAAAAACAAAACAAACAAACAAAAAAAUUGGGGCCCUAAUCCAAUGUGACUGAUGUCCUUUUAAAAUGAGGGAGAGGCACCAGAGCUCACUCUCUCUGCUGCAGCACAGAGGAAAGGCCAUACAAACACACAGGGAGAAAGCCACCAUCUGCGAGCAGAGGAGUGGGGCCUCACCAGAAACCAACCCUGCUGGCACCUUGAUCCUGGAAUUCCAGCCUCAGAACUCGGAUAAAAUAAAUUUAUGUGAUUUAUUACACCAAGUUUGUGUGAUUUUGUUAUGGCAGUCUGAGCAGACUAAUACAACUUGUGAAUCAAUUUUCCAUUAACCUUACCUGAUAAAUGGUAUGUUGUGCUUUUCUAUGAGACAGCAGAAGACCUAAGAAUUGAGCGCACACCGUUAUGACGUAAAGAAAUUAGCAUUGAAACUGCAAUUUAUGUGGCAGGUUUUUUUUUUUUUUUUUUUAGAUGGAGUUUCGCUCUGUCACCCAGGCUAGAGUCCAGAGUUGCAAUCAAAAAAAAAAACUGGAAAAUUUGUUCUAAACAGCUUCAUGGGAAGAGAUAAUGAGCUAUGCAGCUCAACAUAAUUCAACAAAUAUUUGUUGAGUAUCUAUACUAGAACCUGUUCCAGAUGUUUGAAAUACUUCAGUGAACAUACCAUUUUUUAUAGAAAAAAGACCACUUUCUUUACCUUUGUGGAGCUUGCAUUCUAUCAGUGGGAGACAUACACUCCACCAUUGUUACACUAAGUAAGUAUAAUAUUUAGCCAAUUCUUAUAAAUUGUAUGUUACCUCAGCAUCCAUUUUGAAAAUAGGUUUAACUUGCACAUACCAGAAGCUUGGCUUAGUGACCCUCAAAGGAGUUUUCACUUCCUCCAAAGUCCUAUAUGUGGUCGCCUCCGAUAUCUGCCGUAUACAACUGUCUCCUGGUGACCACCUCCCUGUGAGACAGCAGAUACAACCUACCCCUCUGGCCUUCUCACCUCUCGUGGACUGUGUAGAUGCUGCAGUGGCCCCUGCUCAGUUACAGUGUGACUAUUGGACUUGUUCCUGCUUGCUAUAAGCCCACUGUAUUAGUCCAUUCUCACGCUGCUAAUAAAAACGUACCUGAAACUGCCU